Oxyura jamaicensis (ruddy duck) is the source of this 963-nucleotide long non-coding RNA. RefSeq lists it as uncharacterized. The record is from RefSeq and is a predicted model, not a curated record. NCBI's taxonomy places the organism in Eukaryota, Metazoa, Chordata, Aves, Anseriformes, Anatidae. The transcript has 2 exons.
AGUUGUUACAUGUGUCCUGUGCUAAUAAGAAUAUUUCUUUAGGAUCAGUGUGUUAGUUUGGUCCAAUAUAAGACGCCUCAAUGCAGAGCAUAGUCUUAUGUAGACCAAAUGGUAAAAAAAACUGCAGUAAGAGGAAUCAGAAACCCUUUCAUCUUCAGAGUGAGUUAGGUACAACUGUUCCAGUACUCAGAAGUGCUAGAAUGCUUUAUCAUUGUACCUCUGUGUACAUAAAUGUGCUAAGCUCUUCGUGAUUCUUGAUGCAAUAUUGCCUAGAGAGGCACUAUUACUUGUGCUUUUCUCGGUUAACAAAUUGAUUGCUUUAUUUAACUGACUUUGGAAAGUCUGCAUGAAUGCUGCAGACACCGGUUACAAGAAUCAUGAGCUGGUUUGUGUUCUGGAAGGAGCUGCAAGUUACUUUGCAGUUUAUCUGGUGCUGUUCUGAUCAGAAAAGUGACUGUAUAUAGGUAAUGUGAUCAGCUUCCUUUUUUGUAGAGUCACUCUCUAUCAAGGCCAAAAUCCUUCGUGUUUUUUUACUAUUUCAGUGCCAUGACACAACAUUUCAGCCUUCUGCAGGUAUAAUUGAAGGCCAGAAUUUGGCUUUUAAAAUCUUCACUUUUUUCUUCCACCCCAAUGCGUCGUAACGAGAAGAUAAACUUUAAUAACUUACUGAAUCAACUUCAACAACUUGAUGUGCAUAAGGAACAUCUGUUUUGGAAGUACAAAUGAAAUACAAAAGAAAUACUGCAAAUAUGUUUGUGUCCCUUCCUUAAAAUGAAAUGCUUUUAUUUUACCCAUACUUCUGGAUAUACCACAUACAUUUUUAUUUUAUUUAAGGGAUAAGACUGGAACAUAUCUUCUCAGAAGGUAAUCUUGAAGCUGAAAAUCUUAAUUUCAGGUUCCUAAGUGUUUUGAUGUUUAAAUCCCCAAAUGAGUAGCCUAACAAUACACAGUAGGUUUAAAAAA